UAGGAUGUAGUAUAAUGGAAGUAUGGGGAGUUUUGAUUUCCCUAGUGUAGGUUCGAGUCCUAUUUUUCUAG
Molecule: transfer RNA, 71 nt
Filed under: Orlitia borneensis (Malayan giant turtle)
Lineage: Eukaryota; Metazoa; Chordata; Testudines; Geoemydidae
Description: tRNA-Gln
Rfam family: tRNA
About the family: Transfer RNA (tRNA) molecules are approximately 80 nucleotides in length.
Source: RNAcentral